GUUAGUUCGGGCGGCGAAGAUCCGGUGACUGGCAUGGUCGCUCCAUCCUUUCGGGAUACGGUCACUGAGGAGCCAGUAGCGAAACCGGCCCUAUGGG
RNAcentral lists this non-coding RNA (97 nucleotides) under unclassified sequences. RNAcentral describes it as "Cyclic di-GMP-II riboswitch". It matches the Rfam family "Cyclic di-GMP-II riboswitch aptamer". The record is from RNAcentral.